AGGUAGGAUGUUUUACUUUCCGACACUGAGACACUGCGAUAACGACGUACGUUGAACUGUCGCGACGCAGAUUGCGGGUUUGCGACCAACUGUUUUCUUACUAUACGACAUUUCAGUUCAGCGCAAAUCGUUUGAGGCAGUACAGUUUAUCAAGAUUAACGCUAUUCGUCGUAAAAUUGCUGCGAUUCUUUUACUUUACGACGAAGAAGAAGAAGAAAAUUUAGCUCUAUUACUUCACGCUCCUGAACCUUUCCAGAAACAUUCUGACAUAUACAAGAAUCGUGACAAAGAAGGAACUUACAACAUUUUUAUUGAAGCGAUAGUGAGAUGCCUUUUUCAGAGUAUCACAUGAUUUGUACUACUAUAUCUUGAGUGCAAUUCAAGAGGAUAUAACGACGAUGCCUUCAUAUCGCUGUCCUAAACCAAUAAGACCUGAAAUUAAGGACUGGAAAUACACGAACACAAUCUACUAAACGUUGGUCGAAAUCAUCAUCUAUGGUGGUUUGUGACACGGCAGAAAAAAAAACAGUGAAAUGAUAAAAUCGCAACAGUGUAUUUUUUUGGCUGUUACUUUUAGACAGGUCAAAAUGAAGUCCACCGAGUCCAUGUAAUAAAUAUUAAAAGUACCCAAUAAAACCUUUUAAAUGAGGUAACAUAAGAUUUCUAUUUAAUGCAUUUAUUCAAGAUGGCGCUUAUGUGUUAUUUUGACAUCUAGAACUGUCGUUUUUAUGUCAAAAUAAAAUAGUGAUUUAUUUUCGUACACUGAUUUUUACCUAUUCAAAAAUCAUAAAAAUGUAAAACGUUAAAAUAAAAAAAAAACUUUUUUAUUAGGCCGCCAUUUUGAAACGGGUUAAGAUAUGGGUCUAAUAUUUCAGGGUUAUAAAGUACUCAUUGAGACCUUUAAAAUGAGGUACCACACGACCCCCCUUUCUAUUUAAUUUUUUUUCUCAAGAUGUCGCCCAGCCGCCAUCUUGGAAUUUAUAACUACCUAGUUUACAGUGAAAAAUAGUAUCUAUAGACCAAUUUACUUAUGCCAAGUUUCAAAAAUUUUUAUUUGACCCGUUCAAAAAAUAAAUGGGGGGGGGGACUUCAAAGAAAAGCACUGUAUACAUACAUAUGUAUAUAAAUAAAUUUUAUGUUACGUCUUAGAGAUUUUCCGAUUACGUUUAAAAAUCACAAUAUUAAUAUUCAUAUAAUUUAUACAUCCUAUAUUAUUUCCAGAGAAAGUACGUUGGCUGCUACAAAAAUAUCGAAAGAUACCUACCAAAAAAUAUUGAAGGAGUCGGCCAAUAUAAAAAAUAACCCCUCUUGUUCAUUCAGCAGUCCAAGAAAAAAGAGGCCCAGGAAAUCACGUAUACUUGACAUUACUUCGACGCAACUUAAAGAAAUUAGGAGCAUAGUUAAUGAUUUUUAUAUAGUGGAAAAAAGAAGGCCUACUCUCAAGUUAAUCCUACAAAAGAUCAUUGACCGAUCUGUUAUUCAUGAGCCUAUGAGUAUAUCAUCCUUAGCAAAACUUCUAAAGAGCAUUGGAUUUAGAUGGAAGAAGACAGAUGAUAAUAGAAAGGCCUUGAUGGAAUCAUAUGACAUACGUUUGAAGAGAAUAAAAUACUUAAAACAAAUUACCGAAUUUAAAAAUCAAGGUAGAAAUAUAGUGUAUACUGACGAAACCUAUAUACACAGUAGUCAUACUUCUGACAAAGGUUGGUUUGACGAAAGCCUAAGCGGUAUACGAAAACCCAUUUCAAAAGGACAGCGAUUAAUCAUCGUUCAUGCUGGAGGAAAAAAUGGUUUUGUUAAAGACGGUCUACUUAUAUUCCGCUCAGUUCUAAAAGUGGCGAUUACCAUGACGACAUGAAUCAUGAAAAUUUCAUGAAAUGGGUGGAAAUCCAAUUACUUCCGAAUUUGCCACCAAAUUCGGUCUUAGUUUUGGACAAUGCAUCAUACCAUAAUGUACAAGUAAAAAAGAAUGUUACCUCAGGAAGUAAGAAACAACUCAUAAUUGAUUGGCUUAAGGAGCAUAAUUUAGAACAUGACGAGAAAAUGACAAAAACGGAACUUUAUGAAAUAGUUCUUCAAAAUAAAAGAUUUUAUCCGAUAAAGUGCAAACUUGACGAACUAAUGGAAAGUCACGGACACUCAACUUUGCGUUUGCCUCCAUACCACCCAGAAUUGAACCCCAUUGAAAAAAUCUGGGCCACUGUUAAAAACUGGGUAGCAAGCAGGAACACAACUUUUAAGUUAGCAGAUGUAGAAGCUUUGACGAGGCAAAAAUUUGCAGAAGUAUCUGUCGAUGAUUGGAGAAACAUUUGUGACCAUGUCGACAAAAUUGAAGACAAAUAUAUAAAAGAUCAUAAUCUUUUUGAUGAAACUUUAGAUUCCCUAAAAUUUACGGUAAACACUGGCUCAUCAGAUGAAGAUUUGGAAACGAGUUCCGACGAAUCAAUUAUCAGCAAUGUGGACAUUUUGUCAGAUAGUGACUAAUUUAAUAAUAUGAAUAUGUAUUAUAUACCGUAAUAAUAUUAUGUAGUGUUUUUAUGAGCAGUAAAAUUUAUAUACCCUUA
Long non-coding RNA from Anthonomus grandis grandis, 2561 nucleotides. RefSeq lists it as uncharacterized. The transcript is spliced from 4 exons. The record is from RefSeq and is a predicted model, not a curated record. Lineage: Eukaryota; Metazoa; Arthropoda; Insecta; Coleoptera; Curculionidae.